RNAcentral lists this ribosomal RNA (627 nucleotides) under uncultured delta proteobacterium. RNAcentral's name for it is "bacterial SSU rRNA". It matches the Rfam family "Bacterial small subunit ribosomal RNA", at positions 10 to 611 of the family's 1533-position model. RNAcentral also lists the same sequence under 1 other name. Lineage: Bacteria; Deltaproteobacteria. The record is from RNAcentral.
AGUUUGAUCCUGGCUCAGAACGAACGCUGGCGGCGUGCCUAACACAUGCAAGUCGCGCGGGAAAGUUCCCUUCGGGGAGCGAGUAUAGCGGCGCACGGGUGAGUAAUACGUAGGUAACCUGCCCUCGAGACUGGGACAACUUGUCGAAAGACGGGCUAAUACCGGAUAAGACCACGAGAGCUGCGGCUCUUGGGGUAAAAGGUGGCCUCUGCUUGCAAGCUAUCACUUGAGGAUGGGCCUGCGCGCCAUUAGCUAGUUGGUGAGGUAACGGCUCACCAAGGCAGAGAUGGCUAGCUGGUCUGAGAGGAUGACCAGCCACACUGGGACUGAGACACGGCCCAGACUCCUACGGGAGGCAGCAGUGGGGAAUAUUGCGCAAUGGGCGAAAGCCUGACGCAGCGACGCCGCGUGGGUGAUGAAGGCCUUCGGGUCGUAAAGCCCUGUCGGGAGGGACGAAACAUCGGCGACUUAAUACGGCGCCGACCUGACGGUACCUCCUAAGGAAGCACCGGCUAACUCCGUGCCAGCAGCCGCGGUAAUACGGAGGGUGCAAGCGUUGUUCGGAAUCACUGGGCGUAAAGCGCGUGUAGGCGGCCUCCUAAGUCUGGUGUGAAAGCCCGGGGCUUA